CUUUCACCGGAGCUUGCUCCACCGAAAGAAAAAGAGUGGCGAACGGGUGAGUAACACGUGGGUAACCUGCCCAUCAGAAGGGGAUAACACUUGGAAACAGGUGCUAAUACCGUAUAACACUAUUUUCCGCAUGGAAGAAAGUUGAAAGGCGCUUUUGCGUCACUGAUGGAUGGACCCGCGGUGCAUUAGCUAGUUGGUGAGGUAACGGCUCACCAAGGCAACGAUGCAUAGCCGACCUGAGAGGGUGAUCGGCCACACUGGGACUGAGACACGGCCCAGACUCCUACGGGAGGCAGCAGUAGGGAAUCUUCGGCAAUGGACGAAAGUCUGACCGAGCAACGCCGCGUGAGUGAAGAAGGUUUUCGGAUCGUAAAACUCUGUUGUUAGAGAAGAACAAGGAUGAGAGUAAAAUGUUCAUCCCUUGACGGUAUCUAACCAGAAAGCCACGGCUAACUACGUGCCAGCAGCCGCGGUAAUACGUAGGUGGCAAGCGUUGUCCGGAUUUAUUGGGCGUAAAGCGAGCGCAGGCGGUUUCUUAAGUCUGAUGUGAAAGCCCCCGGCUCAACCGAGGAGGGUCAUUGGAAACUGGGAGACUUGAGUGCAGAAGAGGAGAGUGGAAUUCCAUGUGUAGCGGUGAAAUGCGUAGAUAUAUGGAGGAACACCAGUGGCGAAGGCGGCUCUCUGGUCUGU
Molecule: ribosomal RNA, 690 nt
Filed under: uncultured Bacilli bacterium
Lineage: Bacteria; Bacillati; Bacillota; Bacilli
Description: bacterial SSU rRNA
Rfam family: Bacterial small subunit ribosomal RNA
Source: RNAcentral